GUUUCCCUACUGCGUGCGCGACGAGGCCUUUAUUUUUCUGCACCAAUGCGCCUUGCGCUAGGGUAGGCAACAAGCGGCAUCGGCGUGAUCGUGGCUGAUUGUGAAAGUAGUAAUGCAAGCUGCCCAUGAACCCAAGAUGUUGUGAGCCCUCCCGCCCUGAAUCCCAGGUUCAGGAAAUCAGGCCAUGGCGGCGUAAGUGGGGAAUUA
RNAcentral lists this non-coding RNA (207 nucleotides) under Burkholderiaceae bacterium. RNAcentral's name for it is "6S RNA". It matches the Rfam family "6S / SsrS RNA". Rfam says of the family: E. coli 6S RNA was the first non coding RNA to be sequenced, but its function was unknown until recently. It consists of 184 nucleotides that fold into an extended hairpin structure with a large single-stranded internal bulge. The record is from RNAcentral. Lineage: Bacteria; Pseudomonadati; Pseudomonadota; Betaproteobacteria; Burkholderiales; Burkholderiaceae.